RNAcentral lists this ribosomal RNA (468 nucleotides) under uncultured bacterium. RNAcentral's name for it is "partial 16S ribosomal RNA". It matches the Rfam family "Bacterial small subunit ribosomal RNA", at positions 28 to 507 of the family's 1533-position model. The record is from RNAcentral.
GACGAACGCUGGCGGCGUGCUUAACACAUGCAAGUCGAACGGAAAGGCCCUGCUUUUGUGGGGUGCUCGAGUGGCGAACGGGUGAGUAACACGUGAGUAACCUGCCCUUGACUUUGGGAUAACUUCAGGAAACUGGGGCUAAUACCGGAUAGGAGCUCCUGCUGCAUGGUGGGGGUUGGAAAGUUUCGGCGGUUGGGGAUGGACUCGCGGCUUAUCAGCUUGUUGGUGGGGUAGUGGCUUACCAAGGCUUUGACGGGUAGCCGGCCUGAGAGGGUGACCGGCCACAUUGGGACUGAGAGACGGCACAGACUCCUACGGGAGGCAGCAGUGGGGAAUAUUGCACAAUGGGCGGAAGCCUGAUGAAGCAACGCCGCGUGCGGGGUGACGGCCUUCGGGUUGUAAACCGCUUUCGCCUGUGACGAAGAGUGAGUGACGGUAAUGGGUAAAGAAGCACCGGCUAACUACGUG